This 433-nucleotide ribosomal RNA is filed under the name uncultured bacterium. Its description in RNAcentral is "partial 16S ribosomal RNA". It matches the Rfam family "Bacterial small subunit ribosomal RNA", at positions 29 to 507 of the family's 1533-position model. The record is from RNAcentral.
AACGAACGCUGGCGGCAUGCCUAACACAUGCAAGUCGAACGAGACCUUCGGGUCUAGUGGCUCACGGGUGCGUAACGCGUGGGAACCUGCCCUUAUGUUCGGAAUAACUCCCCGAAAGGGGUGCUAAUACCGGGUAAUGUCUUCGGACCAAAGAUUUAUCGCCUUUGGAUGGGCCCGCGUUGGAUUAGCUAGUUGGUAGGGUAAAAGCCUACCAAGGCGACGAUCCAUAGCUGGUCUGAGAGGAUGAUCAGCCACACUGGGACUGAGACACGGCCCAGACUCCUACGGGAGGCAGCAGUGGGGAAUAUUGGACAAUGGGCGAAAGCCUGAUCCAGCAAUGCCGCGUGAGUGAUGAAGGCCUUAGGGUUGUAAAGCUCUUUUACCCGGGAUGAUAAUGACAGUACCGGGAGAAUAAGCUCCGGCUAACUCCGUG